GUGUCAGCCGCCGCGGUAAUACGGAGGGGGCUAGCGUUGUUCGGAAUCACUGGGCGUAAAGCGCGCGUAGGCGGAUCGGCCAGUUGGGGGUGAAAGCCCGAGGCUCAACCUCGGAAUUGCCUCCAAUACUGCCGAUCUCGAGUCCGGGAGAGGUGAGUGGAAUUCCUAGUGUAGAGGUGAAAUUCGUAGAUAUUAGGAAGAACACCAGUGGCGAAGGCGGCUCACUGGCCCGGUACUGACGCUGAGGCGCGAAAGCGUGGGGAGCAAACAGGAUUAGAUACCCUGGUAGUCCACGCCGUAAACGAUGGAAGCUAGCCGUCGGCGAGCAUGCUCGUCGGUGGCGCAGCUAACGCAUUAAGCUUCCCGCCUGGGGAGUACGGUCGCAAGAUUAAAACUCAAAUGAAUUGACGGGG
Molecule: ribosomal RNA, 413 nt
Filed under: uncultured prokaryote
Description: bacterial SSU rRNA
Rfam family: Bacterial small subunit ribosomal RNA
Source: RNAcentral